GUCUACGUAUGAGAAUCCAGGGAAGAGUAGCAGCAUAGUGCGGUGAGAAUCCGCACCACCGAAGGGGCCAGGGUUCCUCGGCACUGUUUAUCAGCCGAGGGUUAGCCGGUCCUAAGGACAUUCUUAACCGAGAUGUUCGAAAGGGAAAUGCGUUAAUAUUCGUAUGCCCCUCUGCAAUAUGGUGACGGCUCGGGCUAGUUCGUGCACUCCUGUCAUGGGGUGUCGAAGCGUUCGAUAAUCGAUCGGAGAACCGUAACGGUGAGAAGAUCGAGAAGGCGUGAGCAAAAGACGAAUGAGGCCAGGGUCCCGUGAAAAGCCGCAGAGGUGACCGUACCGAGAACUGACACAGGUGCCCCUGGGUGAGUAGCCUAAGGUGUGACGGAAAAACAACCGCGAGGGAACUCGGCAAAAUCGCCCCGUAACUUCGGGAGAAGGGGUGCCAGCCUUGAGAAAGGCUGGUCGCAGUGACUAGGGGACUCCGACUGUUUAAUAAAAACAUAGGUGACUGCCAGUCCGAAAGGAUGUGUAUAGUCGCUGAAUCCUGCUCAGUGCCGGUAUCUGAAACCAGGGUCCAACCUGGCGAAGGACCGGUAAACAGCGGGGGCAACUAUGACCCUCUUAAGGUAGCGUAAUACCUUGUCGCUUAAUUGGCGACUUGCAUGAAUGGUCCAACGAGGGACCCACUGUCCCCGCGAUAUGUCCGGCGAAAUUGACUUUACUGGCGCACAGUCCAGUACCCUCAACCUGCAAGCGAAGACCCCGUAGAGCUUUACUGCAGCCUGGCGUUGUAUAAUCGCACUUCACGUGCUGAGUAGACGGGAGACGUUGAUCCACGGGACGCCAGUCCCGUGAGUAGUCGUCCAUAGAGACACCGUCCUUGGAGUGUAAUUGUACUCACUCUUCAUGAGAACACCGCUUGGUGGGCAGUUUGGGUGGGGCGCCACUCCCUCGAAAAAAUAACAAGGGAGCUCAAAGGUCAGCUUAGGUAGGUCAGAAAUCUACCGUAAAGUGCAAGGGCAAAAGCUGGCUUGACGUGGUUCGGAACAAUAACGAUCCACGAUGAGAAAUCAGGGCCUAACGAACCAACCAGCCUCAUUUCUGGGGGCGGUUGAUAACAGAAAAGUUACCUCGGGGAUAAUUGAGUUGUCACCAGCAAGAGCUCACAUCGACCUGGUGGCUUGCUACUUCGAUGUCGUCUCUUCCUAUCCUGGGUCUGCAGCAGGACCCAAGGGUGGGGUUGUUCGCCCAUUAAAAGGGAUCGUGAGAUGGGUUUAGACCGUCGUGAGACAGGUUUGUUGCUAUGUGCUGGGACUGUCCAAUACCUGAGGGGAAGGAUCCUCUAGUACGAGAGGAACGAGGGUUCGCAGCCACUAGUUUACCAGUUGUCUGACAAGGCACUGCUGGGCAGCCACGCUGUAAGGGAUAAGAGCUGAAAGCAUCUAAGCUCGAAACCCACCUCGAGACGAGGCACUUUGACGCCCGUAGAAGACGGGAUGAUAGGACCGGGGUGUACGCACCGAGAGUUAUAGUGGCGCCAGAAACCGCUUCGGCGGCGGAAGGUACCACUUCGAGGUGUUCAGC
RNAcentral lists this ribosomal RNA (1581 nucleotides) under marine metagenome. Its description in RNAcentral is "bacterial LSU rRNA". It matches the Rfam family "Archaeal large subunit ribosomal RNA", at positions 1367 to 2954 of the family's 2987-position model. The record is from RNAcentral.